AGGCUGGGUGGUGCAGCUGGUUCGCCCCGUCCGCCAGGCGGGAGGCGUCGUAAGAGGGAACCCGGCGGGAAUCCGGGACUGCCCCGCAGCGGUGAGUGGGAACGAACGCUGUCAUACGCACUGGGCCCAAAAGGCCCGGGAAGCGACGGCCAGUAGGUGUCCUCCGUACGGAGGGCGUGCUCGCGAGUCCGAAGACCUGCCCGCUGCCCGUGCGCGAC
Regulatory RNA element from Streptomyces avermitilis MA-4680 = NBRC 14893, 218 nucleotides. The record is from Rfam. NCBI's taxonomy places the organism in Bacteria, Bacillati, Actinomycetota, Actinomycetes, Kitasatosporales, Streptomycetaceae.